RNAcentral lists this ribosomal RNA (473 nucleotides) under uncultured bacterium. RNAcentral's name for it is "SSU rRNA". It matches the Rfam family "Bacterial small subunit ribosomal RNA", at positions 26 to 518 of the family's 1533-position model. The record is from RNAcentral.
AGGAUAAACGCUGGCGGCGUGCAUGAGACAUGCAAGUCGAACGGACACUUGGGGCUUGCUCCAAGUGUUAGUGGCGGACGGCUGAGUAACGCGUAGGUGACCUGCCCCGAAGUGGGGAGUAACUGCCCGAAAGGGUGGCUAAUACCGCAUGUGGUGGUGUGUUCAUUCACACCAGUAAAGCCGCAAGGCGCUUCGGGAGGGGCCUGCGUCCGAUUAGCUCGUUGGUGGGGUAACGGCUCACCAAGGCGACGAUCGGUAGGUGGUCUGAGAGGACGAUCACCCAGACUGGGACUGAGACACGGCCCAGACUCCUACGGGAGGCAGCAGUCGGGAAUUUUGCGCAAUGGACGAAAGUCUGACGCAGCAACGCCGCGUGAGGGAUGAAGGCCUUCGGGUUGUAAACCUCUUUUAUCAGGGAAGAUAAUGACGGUACCUGAUGAAUAAGUCACGGCUAACUACGUGCCAGCAGCCGC